This is a non-coding RNA of Ornithorhynchus anatinus (platypus), 84 nucleotides long. NCBI's taxonomy places the organism in Eukaryota, Metazoa, Chordata, Mammalia, Monotremata, Ornithorhynchidae. The record is from RefSeq and is marked provisional.
GGGAGGCCCUGGCUGUUCCAGUUUUGAGAGGAGUGUGUGUUGGCAAACUCUCCUCUCGAUCCUGGCACUACCUGUGCCAUCACC